GAGGUGAGAUGAGAGAAUGAAGAAGUGUUUUGGAAAUGAAUGAAUGAUCAAGUAUGAAGAUGAUGAUGAUAGUACGAUUCAGCCUCACACACACGCUAUCGAAAACAAACCCUAGAAGUAGAAGUAGAAACGCAACAGUAACCAUUCAAGCUCCGUGUUACUGAGAAAUACAGAUCCCAUUUCCAAUUCUAUCCCUCAGAUCUCACUUUCUUCAACUCGAGACAAACACUAUAAGGAAGCAGUUUGUAGGGCCACCAUAGCACGGAAGUUUAUACCAUUAUUCAUGGGCAUGGGCAGUGCUUUCAAAUACGUAUAAGGGGCUACAACCACUUUUGGAUGGUGUGCUUAAUAAUUUGCCGUGUCCAACUGAAGCAACUAAUUAUGCUCUCAUCCAAUCUAAGAAUGAGGAAAAGGUACCAAAUUCAAAGAAACAAUUGAAUGAGAUUAUUUUUAUUGCUUGAGAGAAAAUGCUCUUAUCCUUUGUUAUUAAUAGAGGAAAGAACCUAGGCUAGCUAACUGUGGUCUAGCCACAGAUUAGCACACCACCUCUAACUGACUCAGUUGAAUCAGUUACUGGCAUAACUGACUGACUCACACCAGUCAGUCACUGCCAAGGUGUAACUGGCAGUGGCCAGUCAUAGGAUGCUGUACAAAUAGAUCAUUCCACAUUGUUUAUAGUAAUCACAAUUCAUAAUCAAAGAAAUUCAGUUUAGAAAUUCUACAAUCCUCUCUGAAUUCAGUUACUCCAGAAUCUUUGAGGUUUCAGACGUUCACGUCGAGCCUCCGACCUCUGCGAUUGCCUCGCUGGUGAUUAAAGCUCUGGGGACAGUUGCAGUUGCUCCGGCAACAGUUAUGGCUGCCUCGGCAACAGUUGCAGCUUUCCCGGUGACAGUUAUUGUGGCACCAUCACUGCUUCUCAGUCUUGUACCGUCUUCUUCAACGAACAAGAACUCUUUCUGUGCAAUCUCUGAGAAACUUGACUCAAAACUAUCUGAUAUGGACGCAACAAGUUGAACCUAUGAGUAAAGCACAUAAGUUGCAUCAUUUCUUGAUCAAUCCUUCAAAUCCUUCCAAAUUCAGAACUCUUGAAGAUGUGGACGCAAAUUGCGUUACGCCAGAACUUGAUGCUUGGGAGCAACAGGACCAAAUUGUUUUGUCUUGGCUCCAAUCUACUAUCAAGAAGGAGAUGCUUAUGUGUAUUACUGGGUGAAAGCACUCUUAAAUACUUUGGGAUAAAGUUCAUGCAUACUUUCAGCAACAUAGUCAUGCCAAACUCUGCCAGCUUUGUUCUGAUUUGUGAAGCACCGUGCUUGAAACCUAGAAGAAUUCUGUAUCUGAAUUUCUCUUAAAAAUUCAGUCUUUGAUUAGUUCAAUCAAUGCUACCGAGAGUCAAUUUCUGCUCGUGAGCACCUAGACGUAUUUCCAGUGGCUGGAAUUUACCUUUUUUAAGGUGAAUAAGUGGGA
Molecule: long non-coding RNA, 1464 nt
Organism: Medicago truncatula (barrel medic)
Lineage: Eukaryota; Viridiplantae; Streptophyta; Magnoliopsida; Fabales; Fabaceae
Exons: 3
Source: RefSeq, a predicted model, not a curated record